Molecule: long non-coding RNA, 5523 nt
Filed under: Sus scrofa (pig)
Lineage: Eukaryota; Metazoa; Chordata; Mammalia; Artiodactyla; Suidae
Description: lncRNA (ENSSSCG00035021758.1)
Source: RNAcentral
AGGAAAACAAGGUACUGCGGACAGUUCCUCUUCUAGCUGCAUGUCUCCCCCAAGAUAAGUGUAAAGUCAAGAUUGGUCGUCGCUUCAGUGAAGAAAGAGAUCCCGAACUUUCAACUAUUUGUCGGAAGUCUGAUACUUUAAUAUUAUAUCCAGGGGCUGAAGCUGCUAAUUUGGAAGAAUUUAUAUUAGAUUCUCCUAUUUAUCCUACCACAGUCAUCAUCAUUGAUGGUACAUGGAGCCAGGCUAAGGACAUUUUCUAUAAGAAUUCCUUGUUCCGACUACCUAAACAGGUAACCCUGUAACUACACUUCCCUCCUCGCACCUUCAGGUAUUUAGAACUAAGAGUAUGUUAUUUUUGCUUCCAAAUUUUUUUCUGUGCUCGUACACAGUACAGUAGCAUGUAUUUACUCCCAUGGCAUGUGCAUUAUUCAGACAUCCUAUAACUGCAGUGACUGUGCUCUGUGCUCAGAAAGACCUGAGUGUGCAGAAAUGUGAAUAUUUCACAGGGCAUUGUCUCCCCAUCCUGGAAAUUUAAAUUCAGUGUUUCAUAUAUAAGGCUUAUGACAAAGGGAUUUCCAGCAGCUGAUGAUGGCCAUCCAGUUUGUGGUAUUUUAUUAUAGCAGCUUGACCUGACCAAGACAGUUGUCAGUGAAGUAACUUGGACAGAUGCACCCAUGAGAAGGAAAAUAGGAAUGCAGUGUAUGUUACAUUAUUAAACAAAAGCCUUUUCAGCUUUUUACUUAUCAUUAGAAUGGAGUGGCAACUUCCAGGCUCCAGCUCCAUAUAUGCAGAACUGGAAAUAGGAGGAGCUGUAGGUUGUCUUUUCACUCUGUUGUGUCCUUGGCACAUAGUAGUUUAUAAAUUAAUUGUGGUCCUAUUUAUUUAUCUUUUGUUUUCUGUGCUUUGGUGUCAUAUCCAAGAAACUAUUGCCACAUCAUUUGUCAUUAAGCUUUCCCCUGUGUUUUCUUCUAGGAAGUUUUUAGUUUCAGGUCUUAUGUUUAGGUCUUUAGUCCAUUCUAAUCUAUUUUUUGUGUAUGGUAUAAAAUAAUGCCAAAAUUUAUUCUUUUACAUGUGCAUAUGCAGUUUUCCAGUACCAUUUGUUGAAGAAAUUGUCCAUUCCUCCUAUUCCUUAUCACCUUUACUUCAUUGUCUUCUCUCAUAUUUAAAUGAUUUUUCUUGUCUGUUUUAUUUUUUCUUCACUUUCCAUUCUGCUUUUUAAGGGUAUUUUGCUGUUUAUUUUCUUGUAAUAGUUUUAGCAUUUUCCUUCUUUUUCUUUUAUGUAUUAUUUCAUAAAAUUAAUGUUUAAUAUCCUGGAAAGGACAGAGAAAUUCUGUUCUAAAUUUUUUUUCAUAUGGAAUAUAUCUACUAUGUUGCUCAAUCAGUUGUUUAUGUGUUUGUUCAUUUAUUCACUUACUUGUUCAUUUUCCCAGAGACUCCCUUGUACAGCAGAUGUCUAUUGAAUUCUUACUGUACUUGAACAUAUGCUCCAAUGGAACUCUGUUUUAUUGGUGAACUAGAAUAGACUGAUCUCUGUCUUUAUGGGGCUUACAGUUUAGAGACAGUGAUAAUCAUUUCUUAGGAAACCACAAACAAUUAAUGACUGUUGUGGUGUUCCUGCCUGCCUUAUAACCCCAUGCCCUCCCCCCACCCCCCCUUUUUUUUUUUUGCUGGAGGGUUUACUCUGUUGGUUUUGGGCUAGAUUUUUUUUAAAGCUGACUUUGCUGGGGAUAUGGGCAUUCUGUCAGGGCCGGUUCUUUAAACAAACCUGGUGAAAACAGAACCUCAGUUUACCUUGAAGCUGUCUUUUAACUUGGCUUAUAGCUUUGGGGAUUAGAGGAAGCAGAGUUAUUCCCUUUCUUUAUAAAAUAUUAUUACACUGAAGAUAUAAUUUAUUUUGUUUUGUCUUGUCUUGUCUUUUUGCCUUUUCUAGGGCCACUUCCCAUGGCAUACAGAGGUUCCCAAGCUAGGGGUCAAAUCGGAGCUGUAGCCGCUGGCCUACACCAGAGCCACAGCAACGCGGGGUCUGAGCUGCGUCUGCAAACUACACCACAGCUUACGGCAAUGCCAGAUCCUUAAUCCACUGAGCAAGGCCAUGGAUCAAACCCACAACAUUAUGGUUCCUAGUUGGAUUCAUUAAUCACUGAGCCAUGAUGGGAACUCCCUGAAGAUAUAAUUUACCUGAUAAGAGGUGCUAAGAUAUGUAUGUAGUAUAGGAUAAAAGGCGUUAGAAGAAACAAAUGCCCUUAAAAUGUGUAUCUAACUUAGAAAACUUUUUAUUUAAAAUGAGAACCAAUUGAAGAAUAUAUUGUUUCAUUUUAUUUUGCAUUAAUGGAAAAACAUUACUUGAAUACUAAAAAAUAACAGCUUAUAUAAAAUCUUAAAUAUUUAGAGUCAUAAACAUAAUCAAUACAUUUUCUUAUGAGUCUUACAUAGAAUAUUCAGUGCAAAUUCAUCUCUCAGGAAUGGCAAAAACAAUCAGUAGUAAAAGAAAUUGAAAUUUUUAUUUCCCAGGAGUUUCUUGUUGGCCUUUUAUAUAUCAAGAUAACCUUCUAUAAAGAUUUGUUAUAGUACCUUCUCUAGAUAACAAGGAAGAGCAUGAUGUAGAGCUUUAUCUGACAUCUAUUUGUCCUUGUUUUCCUUUUUGCAUUUCUUUUUUUCUUUUUUUUUUUUUUUUGAACUGUAUUGGAAUGUCUCCUACUCCAUGGUAGAUACAUAGCCUCUGGUGGUAAUUUUAGAAUUGUCUUUUAUCAUUUGCUUUAUCCUGCCACAGGAUAGUGAAUGGUAUAUUCUGACAUCUUUGACUUGUCAUUAGUAGCCCAGUAAACACACCAUUCAUCACAAUCCCAUUGUGUAGAUUGUUAUGGUAUAUAAAUGCCUAUAUGAAUAAUCCUUACACACUUUUUCUUCCCCAAAAGCCUCUUAAAAAUUUCAUUUAUCUUUGCCUUGUAUUUAUUUUUGAAAUGUGUAAUUCUUUUCCCUAUUUUAUUCUAGUCUAUUUAAUUUAAUUCUAUUCCAUUCUAAUUUUUUCUUUUUUUUUGCACCUGUGGCAUAUGGAAGUUCCCAGGCCAGGAAUCAAAUCUGAACCAUAGCUGUGACCUACGCCACAGCUGUGGCAACACAGGAUCCUUAACCCACUGUGCUGGGCUGAGGAGCAAACCUGCAUCACCACAGAAACAAUGCUAGAUCCUUAAACCAUUAUACCACAGCAGGAACUCCUCCCCUCUUUAUUUUAUUUUGUAACUCUCAUGCAAUAAACUGCACACAUUUAAAGUGUAAAAUUUGCUAAGUUUUGAUAUAUGUAUGUAUCUGUGAAACCAUCACCACAAAGAAGAUAAUUUAUCUAUCACUUAUCAGAUUUCCUUGCGUUUAAUCUUUUCUUCCUACCCUUCUCCCAUCUUUGAGCAACCAGUGAUCUUUCUGUCCCUAUCUGUUAGUUUGUGUUUUCUAGAAAUUUAUAUAGUUGUCAAUUGUAUACCUUUUUUGGUAUGAUUUCUUUCACUCAGUAUAAUUAUUUUACAGUUCAUUCUUGUUGCAUGUGUUGUAAGUUCACUCCUUUUUAUUGCUCAGUAUAUUACAUUGUGUGGAUGUAUUAUGCUUUGCCUCUGUUGGUGACCAUUUGGGUUGUUUUCAGGUUUUGACUGUUAUGAAGUGGCUAUGAACAUUUAUUACAAAUCUUUGUGUGGAUGUAUCCUUUUCCUUCUCUCUUUUUCACCCAGAAGUAUGUGUGUCUUCAUCUGGGAGUGGAAUACUUGAAUUCGUAUGGUAGGUGUAUGUUAAACUUUUUUUUGGGGGGGGGAGCAAUUGUAGAAAACUGCAGACUUUUUCCCAAACAGAUGUACCUCUUAAAAUCCCCACUAGCAGUUGAUGAGCAGUUUCUUCGCAUCCCUGACAAGGCUUGAUAUGAAUAGUUUUUAAAAUUGCAACAUAGGGAUAUCUUAUAUGGCUUUAAUUUCCAUUUACCUGAUGUUUAAUGAUGCUGAGCAUCUUUUCAUAUGCUUAAUUGCCAUCCAUAUAUCUUCUUUGGUAAAGUGUACAUCAAAUCUUUGGCCUGUUUUACACUUAUUUGUUUUCUUAUUAAUGAAUCUGAAAGUUCUUUAUAUGAUGCAGGUAUUUUCAAAUCAUGUGUGUGUUUUGCAGAUAUUUUCUUCUAGUCUGUGGUUUGCCUUUUCAUCCUCUUAGUAAUCUUUUUGAAAAUGCAGAAUUUCUUAAUUUUGAUGAAAUCCAAUUAAUCCAUUUUAAAAUUAAUAUACAGGAAUUUUAAGAUAAAGAAUGUACUAGAUAAGUCAGCUUACUUUUACCUUUAUAUAUGAAGAGUGGAAAGAGUUUGAAACUUAAUUUCAAAGUUUUUAUAUUUAACAAAGCUAUGUUACAGAUGUUUAUAUCUUCAAAAAUAGAAAGUUAUGGUAUUCUUACUGGGGCAUUCACUUAUCAAGCAAGACAACCAAUUUUUAAAAAAUCAGAUUUUUUAGAUACAGCUUAGAGUCACAGGAAGUGGAAAGAUUCUUUGAAUCUCGAAGACUUGAGGGACUCCUUUGUUACAAAUAAACAUUUAUAAGGAUGGUUUUAUCAUAGACAGUAUAACAGGAUGAUUAUAGUUUUAACAACACACAGCCUCUAUGCAAGACUUACUGUGAAUGUUUUCUUUUCUUUAUGUUAUCAGGGCAGGCCCUCUGUCUCAGAAUGUUCUGCCCUCUGCAUCUCUUAUUUUUCUCAGAUUCCUUUCACUAGCAGUUGCUAAUUAGGAGGGCCUAUCUUCUCAAAUAUAAAUAAUAGUAGCUCCUUGGAGAGAACAGCAAAGCCAUGAAAUGUAAAAUUUACAAUAUGAAUUAAAAAAGGGAAAUUUUAUUUUAACAAAUUAAUUGUGGGCAAUGAAUGUUUUGUUUAUAUAUAAUUAUAUAUAUAAAUGUGUAUAUACAUAAAUGCAUAACAGGAAUAUUUAUAUGAUAUGUGUACUCACAUACAUGUGAGCUCACAUACACAGACAUAUAUGUAAUUCAGUUGCAAUAUCUUUUAAAAUUUAAAUACAGUUAUCUUACUUUUAUUAUCAAAUAUGCUGUGGAAGUUUUCUGUGGAAAAUGUUAUAGUCAUCUCUUGCUCUGAGUUCCUACUCUUCUGUACUCUUUUUUUUUUCCCUUUCAGUUUUAUUGAGAUAUAAGUGACAUACAGCAUUGUAUAAAUUUAAGGGUACAGCAUAAUAAUUUUAUGUACAUACAUAAUGAAAUGAUUACCACAGUAAAUUUGGUGAACAUCCGUCAUUUCAUAUAGGUACAAAAUAAAAUAAAUAGAAAAUUUUUGUGUGUGCGUGUGAUGAGAACUCCUAAACUUUAAAAUGUUUCAAACAGCCCCUGCAUAGUGUUGGAGUGUUAUCUAGUGUUCCAGAGCACAAGAAGGCCGUGGUAUGCCUUAUGGAGAAAAUAUGUGUGCUAGGUAAGCUUCAUUCAGGCAUGAGUUAAAUAGUGUUGCUUGCCAAGAGUUCAGGGUUAAUGAAUCAGUGAAAUAUAUUAAAGUGUCUGUAAACAAAAA